This 473-nucleotide ribosomal RNA is filed under the name uncultured organism. Its description in RNAcentral is "partial 16S ribosomal RNA". It matches the Rfam family "Bacterial small subunit ribosomal RNA", at positions 335 to 799 of the family's 1533-position model. The record is from RNAcentral.
ACUCCUACGGGAGGCAGCAGUGGGGAAUUUUGGACACUGGGCGAAAGCCUGAUCCAGCAAUGCCGCGUGCAGGAUGAAGGCCUUCGGGUUGUAAACUGCUUUUGUACGGAACGAAAAAGCUCCUUCUAAUACAGGGGGCCCAUGACGGUACCGUAAGAAUAAGCACCGGCUAACUACGUGCCAGCAGCCGCGGUAAUACGUAGGGUGCGAGCGUUAAUCGGAAUUACUGGGCGUAAAGCGUGCGCAGGCGGUUAUGUAAGACAGAUGUGAAAUCCCCGGGCUCAACCUGGGAACUGCAUUUGUGACUGCAUGGCUAGAGUACGGUAGAGGGGGAUGGAAUUCCGCGUGUAGCAGUGAAAUGCGUAGAUAUGCGGAGGAACACCGAUGGCGAAGGCAAUCCCCUGGACCUGUACUGACGCUCAUGCACGAAAGCGUGGGGAGCAAACAGGAUUAGAUACCCUGGUAGUCCCAUG